GAGUAACACGUGAGUAACCUGCCCCUGACUCUGGGAUAAGCCCGGGAAACUGGGUCUAAUACCGGAUACGACCGCCCCAGGCAUCUGGUGGUGGUGGAAAGUUUUUUCGGUUGGGGAUGGACUCGCGGCCUAUCAGCUUGUUGGUGGGGUAAUGGCCUACCAAGGCGACGACGGGUAGCCGGCCUGAGAGGGCGACCGGCCACACUGGGACUGAGACACGGCCCAGACUCCUACGGGAGGCAGCAGUGGGGAAUAUUGCGCAAUGGGCGAAAGCCUGACGCAGCGACGCCGCGUGGGGGAUGACGGCCUUCGGGUUGUAAACCUCUUUCAGCAGGGACGAAGUUGACGUGUACCUGCAGAAGAAGCGCCGGCUAACUACGUGCCAGCAGCCGCGGUAAUACGUAGGGCGCAAGCGUUGUCCGGAAUUAUUGGGCGUAAAGAGCUCGUAGGUGGCUGGUCGCGUCUGCCGUGAAAGCCCGCAGCUUAACUGCGGGUCUGCGGUGGAUACGGGCCGGCUAGAGGUAGGUAGGGGCAAGUGGAAUUCCUGGUGUAGCGGUGAAAUGCGCAGAUAUCAGGAGGAACACCGGUGGCGAAGGCGGCUUGCUGGGCCUUACCUGACGCUGAGGAGCGAAAGCGUGGGGAGCGAACAGGAUUAGAUACCCUGGUAGUCCACGCUGUAAACGUUGGGCGCUAGGUGUGGGGAUCUUCCACGAUCUCCGUGCCGGAGCUAACGCAUUAAGCGCCCCGCCUGGGGAGUACGGCCGCAAGGCUAAAACUCAAAGGAAUUGACGGGGGCCCGCACAAGCGGCGGAGCAUGUUGCUUAAUUGACGCAACGCGAAGAA
This 843-nucleotide ribosomal RNA is filed under the name Nonomuraea sp. RNAcentral's name for it is "bacterial SSU rRNA". It matches the Rfam family "Bacterial small subunit ribosomal RNA", at positions 108 to 968 of the family's 1533-position model. Lineage: Bacteria; Bacillati; Actinomycetota; Actinomycetes; Streptosporangiales; Streptosporangiaceae. The record is from RNAcentral.